Molecule: ribosomal RNA, 846 nt
Filed under: Escherichia coli
Lineage: Bacteria; Pseudomonadati; Pseudomonadota; Gammaproteobacteria; Enterobacterales; Enterobacteriaceae
Description: partial 23S ribosomal RNA
Rfam family: Bacterial large subunit ribosomal RNA
Source: RNAcentral
CGGGACACGUGGUAUCCUGUCUGAAUAUGGGGGGACCAUCCUCCAAGGCUAAAUACUCCUGACUGACCGAUAGUGAACCAGUACCGUGAGGGAAAGGCGAAAAGAACCCCGGCGAGGGGAGUGAAAAAGAACCUGAAACCGUGUACGUACAAGCAGUGGGAGCACGCUUCGGCGUGUGACUGCGUACCUUUUGUAUAAUGGGUCAGCGACUUAUAUUCUGUAGCAAGGUUAACCGAAUAGGGGAGCCGAAGGGAAACCGAGUCUUAACUGGGCGUUAAGUUGCAGGGUAUAGACCCGAAACCCGGUGAUCUAGCCAUGGGCAGGUUGAAGGUUGGGUAACACUAACUGGAGGACCGAACCGACUAAUGUUGAAAAAUUAGCGGAUGACUUGUGGCUGGGGGUGAAAGGCCAAUCAAACCGGGAGAUAGCUGGUUCUCCCCGAAAGCUAUUUAGGUAGCGCCUCGUGAAUUCAUCUCCGGGGGUAGAGCACUGUUUCGGCAAGGGGGUCAUCCCGACUUACCAACCCGAUGCAAACUGCGAAUACCGGAGAAUGUUAUCACGGGAGACACACGGCGGGUGCUAACGUCCGUCGUGAAGAGGGAAACAACCCAGACCGCCAGCUAAGGUCCCAAAGUCAUGGUUAAGUGGGAAACGAUGUGGGAAGGCCCAGACAGCCAGGAUGUUGGCUUAGAAGCAGCCAUCAUUUAAAGAAAGCGUAAUAGCUCACUGGUCGAGUCGGCCUGCGCGGAAGAUGUAACGGGGCUAAACCAUGCACCGAAGCUGCGGCAGCGACACUAUGUGUUGUUGGGUAGGGGAGCGUUCUGUAAGCCUGUGAAGGUGUACUGU